This 324-nucleotide ribosomal RNA is filed under the name uncultured Rhogostoma. RNAcentral's name for it is "SSU rRNA". The stretch from base 106 to 324 matches the Rfam family "Eukaryotic small subunit ribosomal RNA", at positions 735 to 955 of the family's 1831-position model. Lineage: Eukaryota; Cercozoa; Thecofilosea; Cryomonadida. The record is from RNAcentral.
GAUUUCUGGUUCGGCGCACUUGGCCCGCCUCGGUUUACGGGGUUGUGUGCCGGUGUGCGCCAUCCAUCCUUCGAGUGAACAGUUCUGCCCUUCACUGGGUUGGAGCUGCCUAACUCGAUCAUUUACUUUGAAAAAAUUAGAGUGUUUAAAGCAGGCUUGCGCUAUGAAUACAUUAGCAUGGAAUAAUAAUUUAGGACUUUGGUCUUAUUUUGUUGGUUUCUAGGACUAAAGUAAUGAUUGAUAGGGAUAGUUGGGGGUGCUAGUAUUCAGCGGCCAGAGGUGAAAUUCUUGGAUUCGCUGAAGACUAACUUAUGCGAAAGCAUU